GCUUAAUAAUAUUUAAGUCGCAUUCAGAAUUGUGAUAUCUCACAUUUCAUAAAAACUGAAAAAAUAGGGAACAUUAUAAUGGAAGCCAUACUGAGAUGGGUAAUUCAUUUCAAUCGGGAAUCUGCUUCAAAAUUUUGUGCUUGGCUCGUUUUGUGAAGCUCUGCCAUGGUCACCAAACGGGUGGCAAGAAAUCAGCAAGAAUAGCUCAAGCACGAAGUAGACAAAGGAAGCUUGCGGUUGAACCUCCACAUUCUAAUCAUAAGCUUUCAGCAAAAGAUUAGCAGUAAGCAUUAAGGUUCCAAUUGAGAUCAUUCCCAGGAAAGAAGGAGAUGUUCAGGGUAGUUGGUGAAGGGCGAAUUGGGUAGAACAAGACCCAUAAAAUUUCUGUAUUACACCUUAAAACCAAGAAAACACCUAGCCUGAAGGAAAUAUAAGCCAUCCAACAGUCAACUAUAUCCCAGAUUCUGUAGUUCAAUUUUGAAUUCUCUCCUAAUCUAAUCAAACUAAAGCUCAAAUAGAUAGCAGCCACCAGAUUCCAUGGCAACAAGACUUGCAACCAGUGCACAUCACCAGACAAACAUAAUCUCAUCCAUCUACAAUACAGAAAUAAACAUGUAUAAAAUAAGUAAAAUGCAAAAACAAGAGUAGAAUAGGUACAUGUAAUUUAUAAAAUACUGGUAGUGAUACACUUUUGAUAAACAAAACAUAUUGCCAUGCAAUCAAGAUAAAACAAGUUAAAGGAGGAAAGCUCAACAAAGCCCUUCGCCAAGCCAGCCAAUAAUAGAUUACAGCCCUAAACACACAAAAGAUGAAGUCAGAUACAAGUAGAAAACUCUUGAGGUUGAAAUGCAACUGCCCAAUAUCCAGGGCACUGUGAAUAAUCUACUUGUCAAUAAAGCAUAUAGUCCUUGCUUUAUGUGGAAUCAAAAGUAUCAUUAAUAAUAUUCAGCACAAAACUACGCAAGAUAUCAUGCAGAAAUAACUACCAUGAUGAAGUUAGUCAAUGAAUGAUUCCAUUCAUGCACUCUGAUAGCAAGCCUUAAAAAUUUUGAUACAAUCAAAACUUGUGCCAAAACCACACAUUCUAAUCAACCUAACAGACAAUGACACGACUCACACAAGGAUUUGGGGUUUCAAAAUAUGACAAAUUCGCAAUAGGAUCUCCUCACUUCAUCCAAUUCACAAUUGAUUUCAAGGAAACAACUGCUCACAACUGAUUGCUGAUGAUAAAUACAAACAUUUAAAACCCUGAUUCACAUGGUUCACAACCAUCAAGGUGCAUAAAGUAGCUAUGAUGGCAAAUGACACCAAUCAAAAUAAUGUAGUUCCCAAUUUUGUGUCCAAUUCUGGCAGUCUUAGCUAAUGCCAGAUUUUUAAACAAAUAUAUGUCAAACAAGAAAAUAAAUUUUUUUUGGAGAACUUUCUAAUAAUCAGGCCAUUCAACAGUUCUAAAUUGGCAGGCUGGAGGCAUGCUCGAUGAAAGCAAGGACUAAGGAACAUAACUGUUCCCAAACUCAUUGUACAUCAUUAUUGAAGGCAGAUUAAAUACAAGAUAUUAGCAGGUGCUACUGGUCUUUUUCACAUCACCAGGACAAUGGUUUCGCAAAAGGAAGCAAAUGAAAAUAUUAGUCAAUCUAAUAUUAGUAAUACAUCUUCCAACUGAUGUUUGAGAGAUACAAUUAAAUCUCCAAAGUCAUGGAAAAAGAAAGGUGGUAUGUCAGAAAAACCUACUAAUUCUAUGUUUGGAAGAUCCAUAAAUACCAACUUGCUCCUCAGCAGCUCAUUCAAAACUUCUAAAAGGCAGAAUUUUGUACUAAAACUUGCUUGAAUCCUCUGUUUCACACAUCAUCAUUGCAAGCUGAUUGAAUGAAAAUAAUCAGUACAUUCACAUAACAGUCAGGGUGAUUCUUUGCUUAAAUCAAAAUUAAUCAAGAAAAAUGAUUAAAGUCAACCAUUUAAACAUUGACUCACAAGACAUUAACCAUUUACAAUCACACAUUCAUCACAACUCAAUUAUUAAAAGGACCCUUUAUGCAAUGAGAGGAAAAUCAUGGAAGCUAUAAGGAACAUGGAAUGUUUCAAAAUAUGCUCAGUGAAAAAACAGCAACUUAAAUGCAUUAUCUGCUGGUUACCAGACAAUCCUAACUCAAUUAUAACACUUACAAACAAUUUAGAGAGUUAAAUUCCUUUCAAACAAAUUCUAAAUACAAUUCAUAAAAAAAUCCAUUUUUUGGAAUUACCAUUACUCCUAGCCUAUCCAACCACAUGCAACCACAUGGAACUGUUAGGCAACCAUAAUAGUUGCCAAGUUGCCAAUUAAUCAACUUAGCAGUUUCUCCAAUGAAACCAGUCCUAUUUAGUAGCAAGAUCUUUGAACUACAACCGUAAUAACUGAAUUAUUGGCCCACAAUUAGCGUCCUGCACCAUAUGAGUCUUACAUUAUUCCAAUUUGAAAGCAUGCUCUCAUAUUUGCAUAAAUGUUCACGUAUUUAAACCAGAAGAUCAAUUAUGUUACAUGUUUAUUCAACGAGGAAAUGGAUAAGUAACAGCGUACAACUAUAACUUGAUCCAGUUAGAUAUAUAAUGGACUCAAAGGGGAGCAAAAUUGAUAUUACAUUCAAUAGAAAUUCUUUCUAAAACGAUAUAAAACACAAAGAUCACUGAAUGAGAUUUAUUAAGAAUCCUUGGGAAAAAAAAUUUCCAAGGAAUCAUUUUCCAAUGUUGCUGUCAUUUUACAUUAGGUCACAAAAUUACUUCUAACAAUAAUCUUGCCUAGUCUAUAAAUGAUGCCACGCCUUAAAUUACAAACUCAGAAAUAUAAAUAAAUCCAAGUCACUCCAUCUUUGCUUCCUGAUCUUCAUCUAGUCUCAUCUUGUCCUACAACAGGAAAAGAGAGGUACAUGCACCUAUUUAAUAUAAAGUAGGAAAAAAAAUGGCAUUCUUCCUAUUCUUAAAUACAAAAAUGAAAAAGCAGAUAAGGGUUUGAAGUUCUGCCAUUUAAAUGAACUAUAUGGCCUAAAAUAUUCAUCCAUGAAUAAAGGACUCAAAGGUAUAAAAUAACUGUGCCAUUUACGAUAUCCUGUAACCAUAACAGCACAAUAUCAAUAUUAUACAGUAUCUCGCUUCCAUCACAGAUCUAAUGGCCUAAAUCCAGAAAACACUAACUCACAAAACUAAAAGCAAAACAAGAACAUCAACAAGGAUUACAACCGCUGCUAAAUACCCAAUUCAAGAAGAAAAACUAACCAAUUAGCCAACCAACCCACAGGCAGAACCACCCUUCUGACAAACACAAUGAAACAGAAAAACCAUAGUUACACUCCUACCCAAAAAUUUUAUUUCUCUAUUCCAAUAAGUUGGGUUUUGACUGCAGUUUCUUGAAAAAUAACGCAGUCAAUACUCAUUAAUACAUUGAAAUUUUACCUAUUAAGAAACAACAUUUGAAAUACAAAAUAAACCGAAAUAUCGCUCCCAAGGAAAUAAAGGGAACAAUUCGAAACUGAUGUAUCACAGAUCAAUUAUAAUAAUAAACUCAUCAAUUGUGAUUCUAUUCACAAACCAAUAAUUCAAUAUGAGAGAGAGAGAGAGAGCAUUUUCAAUACCUUCCGGAAGCCAACCAUAGCUGCGUCGAGAGAUGGAGAGCAUCGAAGUCAUCAAUGCCGAAGCAGUGGCUGUGUGGUAUGGCAUCAUCGAUUCAACGCCGAAGCUCAUUUCAACUGGACGCCUGAAAAUGGGUUGAGAGAGAGGCUUGUUGGCGGAAGCUCGAAAGGGAGAAGCCCGUGAGGAUUUGGGUUUGGACGUGAACCGGGCAGCGGCGUUGCGAGCGGAGGAAGUUGAUCGGAAAAUGGAUCUGGCGGCGGUGAAAGAGGCCAUUUUAGGAAAAUAGAGACUCAAGUGUAUUGUAGGCGCUUUGAGAUGGGAACUUAAACCCGUCGGAGUCGAGGAGGGUUUGGAUGUAAG
RNAcentral lists this unclassified non-coding RNA (3960 nucleotides) under Hevea brasiliensis (rubber tree). The record is from RNAcentral. Lineage: Eukaryota; Viridiplantae; Streptophyta; Magnoliopsida; Malpighiales; Euphorbiaceae.